RNAcentral lists this long non-coding RNA (1385 nucleotides) under Zea mays. RNAcentral's name for it is "long non-coding RNA (ZMAY_LNC004164)". The record is from RNAcentral. Lineage: Eukaryota; Viridiplantae; Streptophyta; Magnoliopsida; Poales; Poaceae.
GGAAGUUCGGGCAAAUCCCUAAGUACGAUCCGGAAGUCCACCACCUGUUUUUGACACCCAACUUAGUACACCAAUUUCACAUAAUCAGGCUCAUAAGCGACGCCGCACCUACGCACAAACUCAAACCCCGCCGCGGGUUACAUCUCUCCCUACACCCACCAAACUGCAGCGACGCUGCUUAAUAAUUUCAUAACUUUAAAAUUAUGACAGCAGUGGUAACAAACAAAAACUCCAGAGGCAUCUACAUAAAAUUCCCCACAAGUUUUGUAUACAAUUUAUAAUUAAAUUCCAAUAUCUAAUUAGCCCAAAACAGUCCACAAGAUGAACCCUGUAAUCUGUUUUUCUUUGUCUUUUGGACAGCGACAUACCCAGAUUCAAACAGCGAUAUCUUUUAAAAUAUAAUUCCAAAUCAAUCGCAUAAGUACUCAUUGGAAAGAUAAGACAAAUCCCUACAUGAUUAUCAUACUGGUUAACACUAAUUACCCACGAAAAAUUCCCAGAAACUGCUAAUACCACUGCUGUUCACCCACCUGAAAAAUCUGUUUUAUUGGACAGCAACAUAACCGGAUUCAAACAACGAUAUCUCCUGAAUUAUAACUCCGAAUCGAGCGCAUAAGUACUUGUUGGAAAGAUAACAUAAAGCCCUACAUGAUUCUAAUACUGAUUAACACUAAUUACUCCCGAAAAGUUCCCAGAAACUGCUAAUACUGCUGCUGUUCAUCCCCCUGAAAAUCUGUUUUUUUGGACAGCCACAUACCCGGAUUCAAACGGUGAUAACUUUCAAUUUAUAACUCCGAAUGGAGCGCAUAAAUACUCGUUGGAAAGGUAAGGUAAAGUUCUACAUGAUCCCCAAACUGAUUUCCCUUAAUUCCUCACGAAAAAACACAGAAACUGCUAGACUACUGCUGUUCACCCACCACCUAAAAUUCUGGACAACCACAUACCCGGAUUCAAACGGUGAUAACUUUCAAUUUAUAACUCCAAAUUGAGCGCAUAAAUACUCGUUGGAAAGGUAAGGUAAAGUUCUUCAUGAUCCCCAAACUGAUUUCCCUUAAUUCCUCACGAAAAAACACAGAAACUGCUAGACUACUGCUGUUCACCCACCACCUAAAAUUCUGGACAACCCCCUCUACCCAAUCGCAAACGCAACCUCUAAUCAAUUAAAUUGCAGCGCAAAUGAACAAGGAAUGAACACAAAAAUCACCUUGGAUUCUCCCCCUUUCCUUCCUCCCUUCUUCCCUCCACCAAAACGAUUGAAGACUCGCACCACGACGACGAUGAUCCGAGCGGCAAGGAUUGGCACCUUGGGAGGAGGGGAUUGGGGGGGGCGGCUAGGGUUUGGUGGCUGCAAAAAUUGAGAGAGGAAGAGAUGGGCAGGGGGGCGG